GGUUAAGCGACUAAGCGUACACGGUGGAUGCCCUGGCAGUCAGAGGCGAUGAAGGGCGUGCUAAUCUGCGAUAAGCGCCGGUAAGGUGAUAUGAACCGUUAUAACCGGCGAUACCCGAAUGGGGAAACCCAGUGUGAUUCGUCACACUAUCAUUAACUGAAUCCAUAGGUUAAUGAGGCGAACCGGGGGAACUGAAACAUCUAAGUACCCCGAGGAAAAGAAAUCAACCGAGAUUCCCCCAGUAGCGGCGAGCGAACGGGGAGGAGCCCAGAGCCUGAAUCAGCAUGUGUGUUAGUGGAAGCGUCUGGAAAGGCGCGCGAUACAGGGUGACAGCCCCGUACACAAAAGCGCAUGUGCUGUGAGCUCGAUGAGUAGGGCGGGACACGUGGUAUCCUGUCUGAAUAUGGGGGGACCAUCCUCCAAGGCUAAAUACUCCUGACUGACCGAUAGUGAACCAGUACCGUGAGGGAAAGGCGAAAAGAACCCCGGCGAGGGGAGUGAAAAAGAACCUGAAACCGUGUACGUACAAGCAGUGGGAGCACAGGUUUACCUGUGUGACUGCGUACCUUUUGUAUAAUGGGUCAGCGACUUAUAUUCUGUAGCAAGGUUAACCGAAUAGGGGAGCCGGAGGGAAACCGAGUCUUAAC
This 647-nucleotide ribosomal RNA is filed under the name Salmonella enterica. Its description in RNAcentral is "partial 23S ribosomal RNA". It matches the Rfam family "Bacterial large subunit ribosomal RNA", at positions 1 to 688 of the family's 2925-position model. RNAcentral also lists the same sequence under 2 other names. The record is from RNAcentral. Lineage: Bacteria; Pseudomonadati; Pseudomonadota; Gammaproteobacteria; Enterobacterales; Enterobacteriaceae.